Molecule: long non-coding RNA, 534 nt
Organism: Jatropha curcas
Lineage: Eukaryota; Viridiplantae; Streptophyta; Magnoliopsida; Malpighiales; Euphorbiaceae
Source: RefSeq, a predicted model, not a curated record
CUCCUCACCGCCGCUCGCCGUUCUUCACAGCCUCCAUCUAGCGAGCACCGUAGACAGGAGCAGCGCCUCAGCUCAGUUGCAGCUCCAGCGCGUCUCCAACCACCAGGAGCAUAACAGUCGCGCCUGCAGUUGCGCCGCUGGCUGCUCCGCCACCAGGUCGCGCCACCACUGCAAGUCAGCCCCUCCUGCGUCGAUCUCAGGUGGUCCAAUCGCUUCCAGCACGCGUAGUUUCAAUCCGGUGGAUAGUCCAACUUUUAGGGAAGAUACUGCGGAUAGUCCAACUUUUAGGGGAGAUACUGCCGAAAUUUCGAGGAUUAUAAAAUUCAGAAAUGCGAGGACAAAGGUUGGAAGCAUGUGGCUAGAAAGGCAGUCCUUUUAGAGGACAAUAAAGAACUGUAAUAGAUGGAAAGAAGAAUCGUGGAGUCUAAUUGAAUGAACGAGAUAUGGUUCGAUAGGAGUAAUAAUCAUUGUAUCAAAUAAAUAGUAAAUGCAAAGGUAGUGAAUUAUGGAGUAGAGUUCCGCAAUUGUAACCAA